UCGCUGACGUAUAUAGUGUCACAUGAUACAGGGGGCUUUCCCUAACACGUCAAGGCGGAAGAUAAUACUUUGGUAGAAGAUUGUUUGUUUUUAUGUUUUAAUAAGGAAUUAAACUGUUUCAUUUAAUUAGAACGAUUGUAGCUUAGAUGUUUAGAUGAACCAGAUUUCUUCAUCCAUUACAUAGAUAUCUCAAAAUAACCAUCAUGAACCGAAGAAGAAUGCUCCAAUCAGACAUGAGUAGAUUGCAGAGAAAUUACUCUUUCUUGCUAGACGAAAUCGAUGCCAUGGUACUGGUCCCAAAACUCCUUGAAUCAAGUGUGAUUACAUGGGACGACAAAGAAGCCAUUCGAUUACAAGCACAUCAACAAGGCACAAAAGCUGGCACCGACAAGUUAAUUGAUAUAUUAUGCAGAUCCGGUAACAAUGCAUAUACGGGCUUCAUGGAAAGUCUGUCAAUCAACGGAUAUCACCAUGUAGUUGGACGAUUGGAACGUGAUGUGAAUAACCAAUCCUCGGAAACAGUUGAUGAUUCAAAACGAGUUGAUGAUUUGUUUGCAAAAUACAAUUCCCAACAACAAACCAUAAAUUCUCUGACACAAUCCAAUAAUCAACUUAAUGGAGAGGUUCAGUCAUUGAAAGAGGAAGUCAGGUGUAUUAAACAUCAACAUGGCGCCCAGAAAACGGAAAAACCUACUAAUAACGAAAAAGAAAAGAGACCAAUUCCUUGGGAAAAAAUGUCGCCAGAACAGCAGACAAGGGAGAGUCUUAAGAUGGCGAUUGAGAGGAUAGCCCAGGCGAUAGCCCAGGUGUUCAAUUAGAAAUAAAAAUAUGGAAGAAGAUGAUGGUGGAUGUUAAUCUUAAUAUCCUGAAUACAGUAUAAUAUAACAAAUAGAUAAACAAUUAUAGUUUGUAUACGCCCACAUUGAAAUAAGAAUAUUGAUUAUAAUACUGGAAGAAAAUUUAACUGUCAAUCUGUAUGAAAUAUAUUUCAAAUCUAUAUAAACAUUUAUAGUUUGUAUUAGCCCAUAUUAAAAUGUGAUUGUAUAUAUUGUUGUCAACAAUGUCCGUCAGUCCGUCCAUCGUCCAGGAAAUUUUUUGGAAGCUCUUAUAUCUGAUUGACGUUUAAUUUAUACACCGUGUUUAAGGUCAUGAGUUAUUGCCCUUGAUCACUUUGACAAAUCUUGUGGACAUUUGUGAGGCUAAAGUUAAUAUCUGAUUGACUUUAAAUUAUACAGUGUUUAAGAUCAUGCGUCAAAUGGGCCACGGUUAUGCCCCUUGAUCACUUUGAAAAAUCCCGUGGAAGCUUGCGAGAUCAAAUCUGAUUGACUUUAAAUUUAUACACAGAGUUAAGUUCUUGAGACGCAGAAGACUAUUGAUAACUUGAAAAGCUAAAUUUAUGAUAUUAAUUAUUUUACAUAUUGAACGUUAGCAUUGGGCAGAACUAGAAACCAAACAAAUUCUAAUAAUUUCUGAUAAUUACUUAAUGGGCUGGUACAAUAAGAUUUUAGUCGGUUGUAUGUAAAUCAUCUCAUUACUGAAAGGAAAAAUAUCCGAUAAUCCUUGUUGACAUGUUCUGACGACUUUGCUACUGUGGGCGUAUGUUUUCGUUUCCUGUCGACCUAUCUUUUUUACUUUCUUUGAUUCAAUGAAAUACGUGUCCAUCUAAAUAAUUUUAGUAAAUGUCUCUCCAUCUGUAAAUGAUAAAUCUAAGUAAUUUUAGUUUAAAAAAACUCUCCAUCUGUAAAUGA
This is a long non-coding RNA of Patella vulgata (common limpet), 1748 nucleotides long. RefSeq lists it as uncharacterized. The record is from RefSeq and is a predicted model, not a curated record. Lineage: Eukaryota; Metazoa; Mollusca; Gastropoda; Patellidae. The transcript has 8 exons.